RNAcentral lists this ribosomal RNA (155 nucleotides) under uncultured bacterium. Its description in RNAcentral is "partial 16S ribosomal RNA". It matches the Rfam family "Bacterial small subunit ribosomal RNA", at positions 355 to 509 of the family's 1533-position model. The record is from RNAcentral.
UGAGGAAUAUUGGUCAAUGGGAGAGAUCCUGAACCAGCCAAGCCGCGUGAGGGAAGACGGCCCUAUGGGUUGUAAACCUCUUUGUCGGAGAACAAAACCCGGGACGUGUCCCGGACUGCGUGUAUCCGAAGAAAAGCAUCGGCUAACUCCGUGCC